GCUGCAAUUUAUUAGUAUCAUUAAGCAACAAGAAACAUGAAUUUCAGUCUCUUAAUAUCAACGUGAGUUCAAAUUUUGAGGGAUUAAAGUAUAAUUUCCGUCAAGAAUAACAUAUGGGUUUUGCUCACUACUUCAAUCUCGUUGUUUCAUUUUGUCGUGUUGUUGACUCUGGGUUUUCUUCGUAAUGAAGUAAGGUGGAAGAAGAUUAAAUCUUGGCAUACAAGGCUAAAGGGGCGACGAAGCGAACGUGAUUACGAUUAACCUUCAACAGGUACAGAUACUCGCUUUGGUGAUCCUCCAGCUUAGGACUCUUACUCAACUGUCUUGGAAAGCUCCGUUGUUCCGGAGCCUAGACUUUUGGUACAGAUCUUAUGAUGUAUAUGUAUAUGUUUAUCCAGGGGUAUGGCGGGGCCCUGUCCCGCCAUAUUUCGCUAUCGAUACUCUUAGGGGUCUGUAGACAUAUGUGUGGGUUGUGUAUAAGUUCUGUUCAGCUGUGUCUAUACGAUAUGCUAUGAUAUGAUGUUCGUCUGUAAUGGCAGCCUUGUCGACAUACAUAUGAUAUUGAUAUGUAGUGGCAGC
Molecule: long non-coding RNA, 579 nt
Organism: Lycium barbarum (goji berry)
Lineage: Eukaryota; Viridiplantae; Streptophyta; Magnoliopsida; Solanales; Solanaceae
Exons: 3
Source: RefSeq, a predicted model, not a curated record